UCAGCCACCAAGGAGAUGACAUUUCCACAGUAGCUCUGUUAUUUCCCAAACCCGAUUUUCUGGUAUCUUUGGCCUCACUGAAGUGGCACAUUUUUCAUUAAACUUAGCAUUACAUAAAGCCAUUAAGGUGACAGUAGUGUGCCAUUAUAGCUGUUGUAGUAGUGCUGAUAGUGACUUCACCCUUGGGUCAUUUGAAGCAGUUAUUAAGUAAAGUGUCGAGAGAUAUCAAAUAACUUUGAAAACUUGAAAUUGCUUUGCUGUAAGUACCUCUUCUGUGCAGAGCACGGAAAGUUAUACAAGUAGCUCAAUUCAUAUGGAAAACAAGAGCUAUCAAACAUUAAAACCAACACAGCCAAAAAUGUUAAGACAGAAUUUCUUUCCUUCUAGUAUUCUUCAUAAGCUGAAUAUUUUUUCACUCCUUGCAGCACAUAUCCAUUCUGAUUUUUGUCUGCUUUAGAGGCUAAACUUGCCUGAGGGGCCUGCAGAUCCUACAUGUCACAGCUGUUACCGCAGUCACAGUCAUUCUGAUCCCGCAGGGAAAUGCUGGGUGCAGAAGCAACAAACAAGUGGGAUGCAGUCUGCUAGCAACAUAAGCCUGUGUAUCUCCUUCCCUCUACAACAGAUUCCUCCAACUGUCUCCUCUGCCCUCCUGCUCUAAUCUGACAAGCGCUGAAGUGCUGUGGAGAUGGAUUCAUGUACAGAAAUAUGCUGUGGUGGUGUGGGUGUCCUGGGAGAUGGGUUUCUCCAGUGAUGCUGGAGGUCUUGGGGGCAAAUGUGACAUCAUCAUUGUGGGGAAGAGCUGGGCUAUUGUGAGCAACCAAAGAAGCAGGCACAUACCAGUGCCUAUCGUACAGCAGGGGAACCAAGCUGACCACAGGGCUGUCAGGAUACAAGUUCCUUGCUCUAAAUUCUGGGAAAGGAGUUAAUGAUCUGCAGAUACCCAAGAGUCUGGGGACCAUGGGCAGAGAAACAGCUGUCAAGAAGGUAUCACCAGCUGCUCACUACAAAGAGAUCCAGAGAGAAUGAAGACUCUCAGAUGUGGUGUAGCCAUGCUGCUUUGCAGCUCCUGAAUGCUUUGGUACUGCAUAUUUGAGAAAAGAGGGGGCUUUAAAGGCCACAAAGAAACAUGUAGGAAGUUGCUAAUAGCUGAUCAAGCCCAGUUACAGCUCCUGUUGUACUCCAAGAGCUCUUCAAGGUGCCCAACACACACUCCUAUGCAGGCCUUCCUUUUAGUAACAGCAACAAUAAUUAAUAAUAGUAAAAAAUGAUAUUUCUGCUGCAUUAUUUGGAGAGAGAAAAGCUAUAGACUUGACUUUUACAGGAAUGAGAAAGAAGAACAGUUAGAAAAGAGAAAUUCCUCAUCAAAAAUGCUGAGGAGGGCAGGAGGUGGGAUGAGAAGUGAGAAGGAGCCCUCUGUCUCCGUAAUACUGUCUUGUUGAUCUUUCUUUCCUCCAUCAUGUGGUUUCUAUUUUCUUGUAUUAAUCCAUGCUUCCCCUCCCAACAUUUUUUCAUGUGCUUGCCAGUUUGAGGUCAACGAGUACUAAGAAUGGACUGAAAAGAAUUUCCAGGAUGUUUUUUGAGACUAUUAAUAUCUUUAGCAGCUAUUCAAGCAAACACACUCCAUGUUCAUCGUACUUCAGUGUAUAAGCUCAUCGCUGGAGGAAGCAAAUUCAGAUUCUUCAUGUUGCAUGCUGUACAAACGAUCAGAUACACUGUGGAGCUUUGGAGAUAAGAUGGCGCUUCCUGUGGAGCACUCAAAAAGAAAGAGACAAUACUGUGCUGAUAAACAGUUUUCAAAGGCAAAGAAAUUCCAGAAGCCACACUCAAUGACGGAUUUUUAAGAGUCGCCACUUUCAACUCUUCCUAAUUUUAAGGCACCUGACCAAAUGGCAGGCAUCCCUGAAGUCCUAAGCUGUGAAGUAUUCCUCAGCAACGCAUAAGAAGGCUGAACUACUUCUUAUUGAGACGUGCAGAAGCCAGUCCGGAUGGGCGGACUGCCAAUAGCUAAGGACAGAGGUGGCACUUACGGAAAUACGUAAUUAAGCUUUAUCAGUUCUUCACAGUGAAAGCCGAGAACAAUAUUCAUCAUCCCAGCAAUGUGGGGUGACUUUGCUGAAACUGGAAGGAGAAAGGUAGAAUAAAAUCCAUGAUGCUGUGAGUCUCUCAAAGGAAAAGAAAUCCAAUCAGUGAGGUUCACGACAAUUAAUCCCGAAAUUACACCAAACCUUGCAUAGGGCAGUCUGCCAACAGGAUAAUGAUCUGUUCCUCAAACAUGGCAGAAUACCUGGGUUUCAUAUAUCCCAAUACGGCGCUCUAAGCAGUAUGCUGGGCAAAAUGGGAAGACACAGCUGGCCUUAUUCCAAGUUGUAUCCUAUGUGAGGUACCUGGUAGGUAUGAUUGAGUAUAUUUUAAAAGAGAAGGAAAAAAAGGGAGAGAAAAAAUCAGACUUGGAACAUGAGAGAGGCCAGGAAGAAGAUGAUCUGGGAACCCCACUGAGGCCUGGGCAUGAGGCAGCUUGAAGAUGCCAGGUGUGGCUGCUUAUACAUGAACAGAUGUCUUGCUUCCAAGGGGAUUAAAAUCUGACAUUGAAGUGCCUAAAAACAGGGGCCAAAGUCUAUUUUAGAGCUGAUUAUUAAAACCCAGUAGAUUAUAUUUUUCAAGGAAGAGAGUAAAACUUGCAUAGGAGGAAAGGAAGCACUAUGCCAAAUUUCAGAACAUUGUACGUGGAUAUAAAUCACAUGUUAGAGGGAGAACACUGGGGUGUUAAGUGAUGGAAUUCAGACUCAGAAUUUGUGCUCAAUAUAGUGUACUAACUUGGACUCCUGCAGACUGCAGCUUUUGAGCAUCCAGAACUUUCCAGCAUCUUAAGAAAUGAUGCAAUGCAUUUGUUGGGUGCUGUGGUUUUUUUCCCCUCCCAAAGGCUGUGUACUGCAUUUUCCUUAUUGAAUUUAUAUUUUAAAGAGAAAAUGCCAAAAGGCAAAUGGCCACUUAGAAGAUAUAUUCAAUUUAUUUCUUGCCUCCCUUCAAAAUGGGACAGGUUAGCAGACUGAAAAAAU
Meleagris gallopavo (turkey) is the source of this 3056-nucleotide non-coding RNA. The record is from RefSeq and is a predicted model, not a curated record. Lineage: Eukaryota; Metazoa; Chordata; Aves; Galliformes; Phasianidae.